Molecule: ribosomal RNA, 207 nt
Filed under: uncultured bacterium
Lineage: Bacteria
Description: partial 16S ribosomal RNA
Rfam family: Bacterial small subunit ribosomal RNA
Source: RNAcentral
UGCGUAGGCGGCGCGGUAAGUCGGGUGUGAAAUCUUGGAGCUUAACUCCGAAACUGCAUUCGAUACUGCCGUGCUUGAGGACUGGAGAGGAGACUGGAAUUUACGGUGUAGCGGUGAAAUGCGUAGAUAUCGUAAGGAAGACCAGUGGCGAAGGCGGGUCUCUGGACAGUUCCUGACGCUGAGGCACGAAGGCCAGGGAGGCAAACG